RNAcentral lists this long non-coding RNA (653 nucleotides) under Gallus gallus (chicken). Its description in RNAcentral is "lncRNA (ENSGALG00010018580.1)". Lineage: Eukaryota; Metazoa; Chordata; Aves; Galliformes; Phasianidae. The record is from RNAcentral.
UGGAAAUAGUUCGGUUUGCUUGUUUAUUUAAGUACAGACGCGACUGCGAAGAGUCGGGGCAAAACGGCAGCGCAGCUGCGCGGGAGUCGUUCUGAAAAUAGAGCGUACGGAGCUGCGCCUCUUAGGGCUGAGACUGCGCCGUGUGCUGAGCUGCACCCGGGGAGGAGGGAGCCAGCCGGCGGCCCAGCUCUAUGCUCUUCAUUUUGCUCUGCAGAAACAGCUCUAGGUUUGGCCAGGAGCAGGAAAGGAAUGCGUUUAUCCUGCGCUGGGCUGCGCGUAAAGUGGGCGCUGUGGGAUGCCGUGUUUCUGCGCCUCGGCUCCUUCUUCUCUGGAAAGAGUAGCAAAGAUCUGACUGUAAAAGCAGGUUUGCAGGCAGACAGGAAGGACUGCCCCUGAGAAGUAAAGGGGCUUUUAUUUCCAGGAGCACAUUGGGCCCAGAGAGAGGAGGAUGAAAGGGUGCAGUCCCUGGCUUGAUGUGAUGAUGGUGGCUUGAAGGGGACCCGCCAGAACUCCGAGAUUCAGCCCUAGGCGCACCUCCUUCCUUCCCCGCCCCCCCCGGCACCGACGAGGAGAGGCAUCAUCCAGCCCCGCUCCCCGAGGCUCCUCGCCUGGCCUCGUCCCGGCUUGGCAGUGCUGCACAUGGAGCUUCUCCC